CGUAGUUCUGAAAGAAUGUCGAUUAAGUAAAAGGACUUCACAAGCGUCAAGCAAGUUGCAUCUCACGACUGAUUACUUCACGGAACCCUAAUCGGCGACUUGUUGUAUCUCGAUCUUCAAUUUAUGAUCGAUAAAUACUCGAAUUCAAGCAAAUUACAGUUGUAAUUUAUUCGUAUCAGAUUUCAAUUUCCAGUUUACCGAACUCAAUUUCCAAUGUAUAGACGUUUGAUGAUGACCGACGUGAUGAGGGCCGCUGAUGCUGCGGCGAGUCUUCGGUCGUACUCCGGACCUUCCUCCCUUGCCAACCUCCCUCUUGUUUCUGCCUUUCUCGCCUGUGCUGUCGCUCAGUUUCUCAAGCCCUUCACUACCUGGUUAAAGGAGAAUAAAUGGGAUUCUAGAAGGAUGCUUAGCUCAGGUGGAAUGCCAUCAUCACAUUCUGCAACUGUUACUGCUCUUGCCACUGCAAUUGGUUUACAAGAUGGAGCUGGGGGGCCAGCAUUCGCCAUCGCAUUGGUCUUGGCCUGUGUUGUAUGUACUUUUUAAAUGAGGUAAUGUAUGAUGCUACUGGCAUCAGACUUCAUGCUGGUCGACAAGCUGAAUUAUUGAAUCAAAUUGUGUGUGAAUUGCCUCCGGAGCAUCCUGUUGCUAAUGUUAAACCUCUUCGAGAUUCACUUGGUCACACCCCACUUCAGGUUGCUAGUGGUGCUUUGCUGGGAUGUCUGGUAGCAUUGCUCAUGGGAAGCUCAAGUUAAAGAUUGGCAAUUGAUAUACCAAACUGUUACGAGCUUUUUAGAUUUCGAUGAAGACAACAAAAUUGCACAUAAUCUCCCAAAAGAAAACAUGAAUUCUGAUUGCUUGAGAAGACUGUUCUUGAUUUUUUCUACUUCUAUGUAGGGUGUUGUGUUGAUAAAGUCCUCCAUCUCUGUAUAAGAUUAUAAAACAUUUCCUGGACACUGGAUCGUAUUGUGUCACUAAUAUUCUUAUUUGAAUGUUAUCCGUCACCCACUUUUGCUGUUUGAUUU
Olea europaea var. sylvestris is the source of this 1022-nucleotide RNA transcript. RefSeq lists it as uncharacterized. The record is from RefSeq and is a predicted model, not a curated record. NCBI's taxonomy places the organism in Eukaryota, Viridiplantae, Streptophyta, Magnoliopsida, Lamiales, Oleaceae. The transcript is spliced from 5 exons.